AUGGCUGUCGUCAGCUCGUGUCGUGAGAUGUUGGGUUAAGUCCCGCAACGAGCGCAACCCUUACUUUUAGUUGCUACCAUUUAGUUGGGCACUCUAAAAGAACUGCCAGUGAUAAGCUGGAGGAAGGCGGGGAUGACGUCAAGUCCUCAUGGCCCUUAUGUGUUGGGCUACACACGUGCUACAAUGGUACCCACAAUGAGAAGCAAAGAGGCGACUCUAAGCCAAUCUUUAAUAGGUACCUCAGUUCGGAUUGUACUCUGCAACUCGAGUACAUGAAGCUGGAAUUACUAGUAAUCGCGGAUCAGCGCGCCGCGGUGAAUACGUUCCCGGGUCUUGUACACACCGCCCGUCACACCAUGGAAGUUGGUUACACCUUAAGGCAAAGUGUAAAAUCUUUGACUACGGUACGAUCAGCGACUGGGGUGAAGUCGUAACAAGGUAGCCGUAGGGGAACCUGCGGCUGGAUCACCUCCUUUCUAAGGAAAUCGGAAAAUAUUAAAACAAUUAUUUCCGAUUUAAAAAAAACAGGUAAUGUGACCGUCCUCAUUUCUCUUCUUUUAAUGUCUCUUAAGUAAAUCGAGGGGCCGGUAGCUCAGGUGGUUAGAGCGCACCCCUGAUAAGGGUGAGGUCGGAAGUUCGAGUCUUCCUCGGCCCACCAAUAUUAUGGGGGAUUAGCUCAGCUGGGAGAGCGCCUGAUUUGCAUUCAGGAGGCCAGCGGUUCGAUCCCGCUAUCCUCCACCAAGAUUUUAGACAUUUAGCUUUUUUAAAUUGUGAAUAUAAUUAUUAUCAAUAUCUAUAUCCGAUUGUUUUCAAUAUUUUUUUUGAAAACAAUCAAAACAAAAAUUUAAUUUAUUACAGAAAAGUUUUUUUCUGUGCAUAAAUCAAGCGUUUAAGGGCGAUUGGCGGAUGCCUUGGCACUGUAAGACGAUGAAGGACGUGGUAUACUGCGAUAAGUUUCGGGGAGCCGUAUGCAGGCUUUGAUCCGAAAAUUUCCGAAUGGGGAAACCCGG
This 1010-nucleotide small RNA is filed under the name uncultured bacterium. RNAcentral describes it as "bacterial SSU rRNA". The stretch from base 1 to 476 matches the Rfam family "Bacterial small subunit ribosomal RNA", at positions 1045 to 1533 of the family's 1533-position model. The record is from RNAcentral.